GCGCCUGUAGCUCAGCAGCUAGGGCACCAGCCAUAUACACUGGAGUUAGCGGGUUCAAAUCCAGCCAGGGCCU
This is a non-coding RNA of Otolemur garnettii (small-eared galago), 73 nucleotides long. The record is from Rfam. NCBI's taxonomy places the organism in Eukaryota, Metazoa, Chordata, Mammalia, Primates, Galagidae.